UUUUAUAUUGCUUGUUUUAUCUGACGAUACAAAUUCAGAGUAUGUGGACUCCGGCGAGCUCGCGUCGGCAGAAUUGAUCUUCCGCCAACGGCUGUUUCCAACGUCUCGCCGAAGCAACGUCGAGUUGUCAAGGGUGGGAGUUCCUUUUCAGGAGUCUCGGUAAUGAUCCUUCCGCAGGUUCACCUACGGAAA
Molecule: unclassified non-coding RNA, 192 nt
Filed under: uncultured fungus
Lineage: Eukaryota; Fungi
Description: sequence contains ITS1
Source: RNAcentral